UCCAGACUCCUACGGGAGGCAGCAGUGGGGAAUAUUGGGCAAUGGGCGCAAGCCUGACCCAGCAACGCCGCGUGAAGGAAGUGGGCUUUCGGGUUGUAAACUUCUUUUCUCAGGGACGAAGAAAGUGACGGUACCUGAGGAAUAAGCCACGGCUAACUACGUGCCAGCAGCCGCGGUAAUACGUAGGUGGCAAGCGUUAUCCGGAUUUACUGGGUGUAAAGGGCGUGUAGGCGGGAAAGCAAGUCAGAUGUGAAAACCACGGGCUCAACCUGUGGCCUGCAUUUGAAACUGUUUUUCUUGAGUACUGGAGAGGCAGACGGAAUUCCUAGUGUAGCGGUGAAAUGCGUAGAUAUUAGGAGGAACACCAGUGGCGAAGGCGGCCUGCUGGACUGCAACUGACGUUGAGGCUCGAAGGCGUGGGGAGCAAACAGGAUUAGAUACCCUCGUA
Molecule: ribosomal RNA, 448 nt
Filed under: uncultured bacterium
Lineage: Bacteria
Description: bacterial SSU rRNA
Rfam family: Bacterial small subunit ribosomal RNA
Source: RNAcentral